This 465-nucleotide ribosomal RNA is filed under the name Vreelandella stevensii. RNAcentral describes it as "partial 16S ribosomal RNA". It matches the Rfam family "Bacterial small subunit ribosomal RNA", at positions 338 to 795 of the family's 1533-position model. The record is from RNAcentral. Lineage: Bacteria; Pseudomonadati; Pseudomonadota; Gammaproteobacteria; Oceanospirillales; Halomonadaceae.
CCUACGGGAGGCAGCAGUGGGGAAUAUUGGACAAUGGGCGAAAGCCUGAUCCAGCCAUGCCGCGUGUGUGAAGAAGGCCUUCGGGUUGUAAAGCACUUUCAGUGGGGAAGAAAGCCUUGGGGCUAAUACCCUCGAGGAAGGACAUCACCCACAGAAGAAGCACCGGCUAACUCCGUGCCAGCAGCCGCGGUAAUACGGAGGGUGCGAGCGUUAAUCGGAAUUACUGGGCGUAAAGCGCGCGUAGGCGGUCUGAUAAGCCGGUUGUGAAAGCCCCGGGCUCAACCUGGGAACGGCAUCCGGAACUGUCAGGCUAGAGUGCAGGAGAGGAAGGUAGAAUUCCCGGUGUAGCGGUGAAAUGCGUAGAGAUCGGGAGGAAUACCAGUGGCGAAGGCGGCCUUCUGGACUGACACUGACGCUGAGGUGCGAAAGCGUGGGUAGCAAACAGGAUUGGAUACCCGUGUAGUC